Molecule: unclassified non-coding RNA, 334 nt
Filed under: soil metagenome
Description: partial contains 5.8S ribosomal RNA, internal transcribed spacer 2, and large subunit ribosomal RNA
Rfam family: 5.8S ribosomal RNA (bases 1-120)
Source: RNAcentral
GAUGAAGAACGCAGCGAAAUGCGAUAAGUAAUGUGAAUUGCAGAAUUCAGUGAAUCAUCGAAUCUUUGAACGCACAUUGCGCCCGCCAGUAUUCUGGCGGGCAUGCCUGUUCGAGCGUCAUUUCAACCAUCAAGCCCUGCUUGCGUUGGGGUCCUGCGGCUGCCCGCAGGCCCUGAAAACCAGUGGCGGGCUCGCUAGUCACACCGAGCGCAGUAAUACAUCUCGCUUUGGGCGUGCGGCGGGUUCUUGCCGUUAAACACCCCCUUUUUACCAAGGUUGACCUCGGAUCAGGUAGGAAUACCCGUUGAACUUAAGCAUAUCAAUAAGCGGAGGA